RNAcentral lists this ribosomal RNA (112 nucleotides) under Escherichia coli. The record is from RNAcentral. Lineage: Bacteria; Pseudomonadati; Pseudomonadota; Gammaproteobacteria; Enterobacterales; Enterobacteriaceae. RNAcentral also lists the same sequence under 20 other names.
CCUGGCGGCAGUAGCGCGGUGGUCCCACCUGACCCCAUGCCGAACUCAGAAGUGAAACGCCGUAGCGCCGAUGGUAGUGUGGGGUCUCCCCAUGCGAGAGUAGGGAACUGCC